Molecule: long non-coding RNA, 880 nt
Organism: Vidua macroura (Pin-tailed whydah)
Lineage: Eukaryota; Metazoa; Chordata; Aves; Passeriformes; Viduidae
Exons: 4
Source: RefSeq, a predicted model, not a curated record
UUACAGCAGGUCACUAUCCCUAAAUACUCGUAUGAAUUAUGGAAGGAAUUGUGUAUAUUCCAGCAGUCACGGCCGUGCUCCUGCACAGCCUUUGAUUUCUCUUGCAGGUGAAAUAUCCACGCACAUGCAGGGCUCAGGUUCCCAAGGUGAAUAUAUUGAUUUAUUUCCUUGGCCUGUGGGAUCCCCAGAGCUCCCCAGAAGCUGUUGGGAUGCUGCAUUCCCACUGAGCAUGGAUGGAUGGAUUUCCCCCGCAGCUCUCUCUGCCCAUGUGAACUUUAGCUCCUCUCAACAAACACUGCCCGAGGUCCCUGCAGUUAAUAGACACUCAGGACUACAGAGGCUCUUUUGUGUGAGACAAGGAUCUUAUCCAGGCUUGGAUCACACGGGGACCUCGGGGUGGGAAGUUCUGCAGCCCACGCCGGGUAAAACCCAUUUUAUUCCCGAGGAAUAGGACUGUUGGUCAAAUUCCCCACACAGAAAAAGGUCGGAAUAACAUCGCCCAGAGCUGUCACUCACUCCUGGAAGCAGAGGAAGGAGGAAACCCGACCUGCACAUGCUUGCACCAUCUGCUGGCAGCAUCUCUGCUGACAGACAUUCCUAGAAGGGAUUCUGGAAUUCCUCAUCCACACUUAGGGACACGAGUCCACCGUUAUAAAGGUUUAAGAUUCAGCAGAGCCAUUUCUGCCAGGUUUUAAGGAAUUACACAGCAAAGUGAUCCCAACACAGCCACCUCGAGCAGGGAACUGCAGAGCCUGUGCUGGCCUCAUCCAGGUUUUGUCCCCACCACAGAGCCAUCCUCUUGGGAAUUUCUGAACUCCCUGCUGGAAUCUCAGCUGAAUGAUGGGAUCCUGUCAGAUUCCUUGCCUAUCCCAGAGACUUG